AGCUCCAAUAGCGUAUAUUAAAUUUGCUGUGGUUAAAAAGCUCGUAGUCGAACUUCGGCUGUCGCAGGCCGGUCCGCCUUUUUUGGGUGUGUACUGGACCCUGUGGCGGCUUCUCUUCCUGGUGAAUAUGUCUGCCGUUUAUUCGGUGGGCAUAGGAACCCGGACUUUUACUUUGAAUAAAUCAGAGUGUUCAAAGCAGGCAUGUUUGCCCGAAUGUUUCAGCAUGGAAUAAUAGAAUAAGACGCGUGUCUCUAUUGGUCUUUUUAGAGGCACCGUAAUGAUAAAUAGGGGCGGUCGGGGGCAUUCGUAUUCAAUUGCUAGAGGUGAAAUUCUUGGAUUUAUUGAAGACGAACUACUGCGAAAGCAUUUGCCAAGGACGCUUUCA
Molecule: ribosomal RNA, 385 nt
Filed under: uncultured eukaryote
Lineage: Eukaryota
Description: SSU rRNA
Rfam family: Eukaryotic small subunit ribosomal RNA
Source: RNAcentral